GGUCCCGUGGUGUAGUGGUUAACAUGCCUGUCACGCAGGAGAUCGCCGGUUCGACCCCGGUCGGGACCGCCA
This 72-nucleotide transfer RNA is filed under the name Bacillus cereus. RNAcentral describes it as "tRNA-Val". It matches the Rfam family "tRNA". Rfam says of the family: Transfer RNA (tRNA) molecules are approximately 80 nucleotides in length. Their secondary structure includes four short double-helical elements and three loops (D, anti-codon, and T loops). Further hydrogen bonds mediate the characteristic L-shaped molecular structure. tRNAs have two regions of fundamental functional importance: the anti-codon, which is responsible for specific mRNA codon recognition, and the 3' end, to which the tRNAs corresponding amino acid is attached (by aminoacyl-tRNA synthetases). tRNAs cope with the degeneracy of the genetic code in two manners: having more than one tRNA (with a specific anti-codon) for a particular amino acid; and 'wobble' base-pairing, i.e. permitting non-standard base-pairing at the 3rd anti-codon position. Lineage: Bacteria; Bacillati; Bacillota; Bacilli; Caryophanales; Bacillaceae. The record is from RNAcentral.